Molecule: non-coding RNA, 58 nt
Organism: Dipodomys ordii (Ord's kangaroo rat)
Lineage: Eukaryota; Metazoa; Chordata; Mammalia; Rodentia; Heteromyidae
Source: Rfam
UGACUCAGUGGUAGAGUGCUUGCCUUGCAUGCAUGAGGUCCUGGGUUCGAUUCCUCAG